This 960-nucleotide ribosomal RNA is filed under the name Triticum aestivum (bread wheat). RNAcentral describes it as "partial small subunit ribosomal RNA". Lineage: Eukaryota; Viridiplantae; Streptophyta; Magnoliopsida; Poales; Poaceae. The record is from RNAcentral.
AUGAAGGCCAACUGGAUCGUCCUCAUCCACCAAUGCGAUAGUCCGUGGCAUCUCGUGGAUAUCUACACCCAGCGAGAGAUCACCCUUGCAUCAUUGGAUACCGCCGCCAUCAAGCCUCGCGGCCCGCCGGACACUCCUGCCUACUAUGCACGAGACGCGUCAAGCUUUUGGCUUGACCUCUGUUUGCUGAAAGUUGUAAUAUGUGAAGUGCGCACACCAUCAGAAGACUACAUGGAUUACAAGCUCAUUGCCUUGUUCAACAUGGGAUUAGUCUAUCUGGAAUCCGGUCGCCAUACAUGGUUAUGGCUCAUCGUCAAUCCUAUUGAGGCAACAUUUUUGUCUGAUGCUAUAGUGCACGAUGGCAUUGUUUACGCGUACCAUAUAACUGGAAUUAACCGAUGCAAGUCGAAGAAGGAUUGGCCGGUGCUGCCGGCUGGCAUCAAGUUCGAUCCCAUGGAUCAGGAGUUGAUCGAGCACCUUGAGGCCAUAGUGAGUGCUGACAGCGCGAGAUCUCACCCUCUCAUCGAUUUGUUCAUACCAACCAUCGACAGCGAGCACGACAUAUGCUACACCCAUCCUGAGAAACUUCCAGGUAUCACAUUGGAGUGCGACAUGCACGCGAUGUGGCACAACACCGGCAAUACCUUGCCAGUGAUGGUCAACGGCCGACAGGGCAGCAAAAAGGUUCUAGUGCUGCACACCAACAAGAACUUCGACCAGCAGAGGACCAACUGGUUGAUGCACCAGUACCACCUCGGGGACCUGGAGCAAGAGAAGGAGCUGGAACUGGUCCUCUGCAAGAUUUUCUACCAGACGAACACUAGGGCCAGGAGUCGAGCAAGUUUCAACUGGGUUGUAGACUGCCCAGGCUUGGUUUUGUUUUUAACAGGCCCAGCCCAUGAAGACAACGGGGCACAAAGAUCCAACGGUAUCUACUGGCCUCUGGCCCGCCAGCGUUAG